This 519-nucleotide ribosomal RNA is filed under the name Mediodactylus kotschyi (Kotschy's gecko). RNAcentral describes it as "partial large subunit ribosomal RNA". It matches the Rfam family "Bacterial large subunit ribosomal RNA", at positions 1799 to 2573 of the family's 2925-position model. The record is from RNAcentral. Lineage: Eukaryota; Metazoa; Chordata; Lepidosauria; Squamata; Gekkonidae.
CCUGUUUAUCAAAAACAUCGCCUUUAGCCCCACAAGUAUUAAAGGUCCCGCCUGCCCAGUGAACAAUUUUUCAACGGCCGCGGUAUCCUAACCGUGCAAAGGUAGCGUAAUCACUUGCCCCUUAAAUAGGGGCCCGUAUGAACGGCUAACUGAGGGCACACCUGUCUCCUGAUGCUAACUAAUGAAACUGAUCUUCUGGUACAAAAGCCAGAAUACACCCACAAGACGAGAAGACCCUGUGGAGCUUAUAACCUAAUCACUACCAACCACCCUGUCCUAGUGAGUAGUUUAAGUUGGGGCGACUACGGAGCACAACAAACCCUCCAAGAAUCAGGGCUAACACCCCACCCCCAGGCACACACGCCAAAACAACCCAUUUGACCCAGUACCACUGACCAUCGAACCAAGUUACCCCAGGGAUAACAGCGCCAUCCCCCUCUAGAGUCCAUAUCACCAGGGGGGUUUACGACCUCGAUGUUGGAUCAGGACACCCCGGCGGUGCAGCCGCUGCCAAAGGCC